AUGAGCAGGACUGAGGUGGGGAGAAGCUACAUAACUUGCCCAGGUCACCCACCCAGCAGGGAGCAAGGCGUGGUUGUCUGGCUCUGGACCGGUCGCUCAGAACCACAAACGCACGAUGAACCCGCCCUGAUCUGCUCCCCGCCCCAGGCUUCCUGCACCUUGGUCGGCCGUGCUCCCUGCUGUGCCCUGAUGCCAGGAGCAGGGCCUGGCACAACAAGGCCACCGCGGGGACGUGCUGGUGAACGUGCAUCAAAUAUCAGAAAAUCCAACCAAAGUGUCUUCAAGAAUUGUAAAAAGAAGUGUUAGCAAGUGAUGGAGCCCAGAGGCAGAGUGAGUCAAUUCAGCAACUCAGUGACACAUCUCUUGGCUCUGCUGUCUGCUACACAAAUGUCAUCACGGUUCCGACACAGCACCCGGAACAGAGGCUGCAGGCGUCCUUGUACCCACCCUGUGCUUUAGAAGCAAGUCAUAGAAUGCCCCCAGCAUCCCAUUCCUUCGCGGGUCCCCCACUGUGUGAGGAAGAAGAGUUGGUCUCUUAGUCUUGUCCGUCUACUUACGUUCACUUGAACUUCCACAGUCCUUGGUUUAUGGUCUGGGCUGCAGACAACAUCAGCAGGACCAGAUGACAGAGGACUCCCCUUUCUCACAGUAGGAUGGGUGGCUGGGCCUGGGUCAGGUGCUCCUCGGUGACAGGCACUGGGGCAGGUUCCCCAGGUAUCAUCUGGUGCCUCCAGAGACCUCAGGGAAUGAACGUAUGAUCGAAGAGUUUCAUACCCAGUCAAGUUGGCGUAAAGGCGAGUCAUUUUAAACACGUGCCGUCACUCCGGAAAAAUUACAGUAAUGACAUCGUGGUCUUUACCAUGUGAAAGCAACUCCCAGCCACUCACCAUCACUCAUCUUCUUGGAGCCUGCAGCAACUGGGAGAGGGCUGGUCCUGCCAGGUGAGAAAGGGAGGUGGGGCCCCACUGUGCGGUCACCAGCUAGAGGGAGGCGAAGGGCCCCUCCCCACCGCCCCACCUGAGCCUCUGGCCCUUGGCUGAGAACCUACUGAAUGAAGGUGUGGAUGCGUGAACGGACCACACGUUUCAGAGCUCCCAGAGCCAAGAGGUGUGUGUUCUUGUGCACGUGGCAUCAACCCUGCCCGGGGAGGCGACUCUUGGGGUGGCCGGUGGCGAUUCAGGGGGUGGGGGAGCCACCCUAGGGUCCGUGGUGGACCUCUUGCUGGGACUAGGCGGCGUGAAGGGCAAAUCCUGGGUCUCGGUCACGGCUGGGCACGAUGGGCGGAGAGGCAGCCUGGUCUCUGCCCUGGGGCCCCUGGACCUGGUCUCUUAUCAUGGCAGUUCACUCACCUACUCAGCGGGCACAGUGAGCCUCUGCCCUUAGAGCCGCCGGGCAGCUCUGGAAGCCACGGUGAUGAGGAAGCCGCGCCUGGUGGGGCACGACCAGGGCCGGGGGUGGGGGUCCUCUUCGGGCGGCGGGGGUCAGGCGAGGCCUCAUCACACGGGGUGUCUGAGCCGGUCCUCAGCCCCCCAGGAGGUCAAGUUGCAUGGGGCCCGGCGCCCCUCCUGUUCCUCAUGACGCUGGGCCCCAGGACUUGCCCAGAGCGGCCUGGGCACCCUGCACACGGGUGUGUCCAGCUGGAAACCCCGCUGGAAGGAGUAACGGGGACUCAGACUCCCAGGGACGGACAAGGUUUUAUCUGCAAUAAUGUCACUUCAACACACACAUCGGCCGGAGACACGCUUAUGCUCCUAUAGCCCUCGUAACUUAUAAAACGCCAAUAAAAUUCAAAUUAGACAGAGGGAAGCCCACGAAACGAAUACAGUUUAGAUUAAUAAUAUAAUUAAAGGGUUAAUUUAAUGUGAAGGAUGAUUCUAAAACUUGUGGUAAAAUAAUACACAACAUAAAGUUCACCCUCUUCACUCACAGUGUUGUCCACCAUCAUCCCAACCAUC
This is a long non-coding RNA of Lagenorhynchus albirostris (white-beaked dolphin), 1955 nucleotides long. RefSeq lists it as uncharacterized. The record is from RefSeq and is a predicted model, not a curated record. Lineage: Eukaryota; Metazoa; Chordata; Mammalia; Artiodactyla; Delphinidae. The transcript is spliced from 4 exons.